CCAGCAGCCGCGGUAAUUCCAGCUCCAAUAGCGUAUAUUAAAGUUGUUGCAGUUAAAAAGCUCGUAGUUGAACUUCAGACCUGGCCGGGCGGUCUGCCUCACGGUAUGUACUGUCUGGCCGGGCCUUACCUCUUGGUGAGCCGGCAUGCCCUUCACUGGGUGCGUCGGGGAACCAGGACCUUUACCUUGAGAAAAUUAGAGUGUUCAAAGCAGGCCUAUGCCCGAAUACAUUAGCAUGGAAUAAUAAAAUAGGACGUGCGGUUCUAUUUUGUUGGUUUCUAGAGUCGCCGUAAUGAUUAAUAGGGAUAGUUGGGGGCAUUAGUAUUCAGUUGCUAGAGGUGAAAUUCUUGGAUUUACUGAAGACUAACUUCUGCGAAAGCAUUUGCCA
Molecule: ribosomal RNA, 388 nt
Filed under: uncultured eukaryote
Lineage: Eukaryota
Description: SSU rRNA
Rfam family: Eukaryotic small subunit ribosomal RNA
Source: RNAcentral